RNAcentral lists this ribosomal RNA (600 nucleotides) under uncultured bacterium. RNAcentral describes it as "bacterial SSU rRNA". It matches the Rfam family "Bacterial small subunit ribosomal RNA", at positions 89 to 691 of the family's 1533-position model. The record is from RNAcentral.
UUGAGAGCGGCGUACGGGUGCGGAACACGUGUGCACUGCCUUUAUCUGGGGGAUAGCCUUUCGAAAGGAAGAUUAAUACCCCAUAAUAUGUUGAAUGGCAUCAUUCGACAUUGAAAACUCCGGUGGAUAGAGAUGGGCACGCGCAAGAUUAGAUAGUUGGUGAGGUAACGGCUCACCAAGUCUACGAUCUUUAGGGGGCCUGAGAGGGUGAUCCCCCACACUGGUACUGAGACACGGACCAGACUCCUACGGGAGGCAGCAGUGAGGAAUAUUGGACAAUGGGUGAGAGCCUGAUCCAGCCAUCCCGCGUGAAGGACGACUGCCCUAUGGGUUGUAAACUUCUUUUGUAUAGGGAUAAACCUACCCUCGUGAGGGUAGCUGAAGGUACUAUACGAAUAAGCACCGGCUAACUCCGUGCCAGCAGCCGCGGUAAUACGGAGGGUGCAAGCGUUAUCCGGAUUUAUUGGGUUUAAAGGGUCCGUAGGCGGAUCUGUAAGUCAGUGGUGAAAUCUCACAGUUAAUUGUGAAAUUGCAUUGAUACUGGAGGUCUUGAGUGUGUGAAGUAGUGGAAUAAGUAGUGUAACGGGUUGAAAAUUGGCU